RNAcentral lists this ribosomal RNA (443 nucleotides) under uncultured bacterium. Its description in RNAcentral is "partial 16S ribosomal RNA". It matches the Rfam family "Bacterial small subunit ribosomal RNA", at positions 338 to 795 of the family's 1533-position model. The record is from RNAcentral.
CCUACGGGCGGCAGCAGUGGGGAAUAUUGGGCAAUGGGCGCAAGCCUGACCCAGCAACGCCGCGUGAAGGAAGAAGGCCCUCGGGUUGUAAACUUCUUUUAUCAAGGACGAAACAAAUGACGGUACCUGACGAAUAAGCCACGGCUAACUACGUGCCAGCAGCCGCGGUAAUACGUAGGUGGCAAGCGUUGUCCGGAUUUACUGGGUGUAAAGGGCGUGUAGCCGGGUUGACAAGUCAGAUGUGAAAUCCUGCGGCUUAACCGCAGAACUGCAUUUGAAACUGUUGAUCUUGAGUACUGGAGAGGCAGACGGAAUUCCUAGUGUAGCGGUGAAAUGCGUAGAUAUUAGGAGGAACACCAGUGGCGAAGGCGGUCUGCUGGACAGCAACUGACGGUGAGGCGCGAAAGCGUGGGGAGCAAACAGGAUUAGAUACCCCUGUAGUC